This 193-nucleotide microRNA precursor is filed under the name Oryza sativa Japonica Group (Japanese rice). RNAcentral describes it as "MIR1435 microRNA precursor family". It matches the Rfam family "MIR1435 microRNA precursor family". Lineage: Eukaryota; Viridiplantae; Streptophyta; Magnoliopsida; Poales; Poaceae. The record is from Rfam by way of RNAcentral.
UAGCUUUUUUCUUAGUUAAACUUUUUUUAAGUUUAACCAAGUUUGUAGAAAACACAUGGUGAUAUCUUCGACAUACAAUCAAAAUAUACUCAAUCUUAAGAUUUAAUGAGACUAAUUUGAUGUUGUAGAUGUUGCUAUAUUUUUCAAUAAACUUGAUCAAACUUAAAAAAAGUUUGGCUUAGGAAAAAGUCAA